GAACACCCAAGUGAUAUACACCCAGAGGGCUUAUCUAAAUAGUUGAGGCGUUAUCUUGACCAGGCCGAUUACGAGUGGCCAACAAGAAGCAGAUGGCUUGGAAACACAUUACUAGAAAGUUCUCGACUUUAUCUCGCUGCAUGACGUCAACAGUCGGGGUGAUAAGAUCCUAUACUCUUCCAGAAUCUCGUACUGCGGAUGAGGAACGGCACAACUAUUUCGAAUCUUAUCAAAUGCGGCAGAAAAACAAUCAACAGUGAGAUUUCACAACUUCGUGACUGGAAAUACUUGGAGAUAACAGCUUCCAAAUCACAGCAGAGUCACAGUCGCAGUCGCAGUCACUGUGAUUUGUUUACCGUUAGGCGACGUGUGGAGACGGCAGUAGAGGUGAUCCGGUUCUAGAUAAAGCCCUAGCCUCAAUGCAGUACUUUAAAUAAAUACUUUCUGGGUACCGAUU
Molecule: long non-coding RNA, 457 nt
Organism: Drosophila ananassae
Lineage: Eukaryota; Metazoa; Arthropoda; Insecta; Diptera; Drosophilidae
Exons: 3
Source: RefSeq, a predicted model, not a curated record